GGGAUGUGCUCAGAGCAGGGGGCCUAAAGAAAUGGCUCCUCAGUUUACAACACACCCAACAGGAACUCGUUGUGUGGAGGGGCACAGAACUCGUGCCCUUCCUGUGAGCAAACACCCUACAUGU
This is a small nucleolar RNA of Phyllostomus discolor (pale spear-nosed bat), 124 nucleotides long. RefSeq annotates it as small nucleolar RNA SNORA11. The transcript has a single exon. The record is from RefSeq and is a predicted model, not a curated record. Lineage: Eukaryota; Metazoa; Chordata; Mammalia; Chiroptera; Phyllostomidae.